AGUGAACGCUGGCGGUAGGCCUAACACAUGCAAGUCGAACGGCAGCACAGUAAGAGCUUGCUCUUACGGGUGGCGAGUGGCGGACGGGUGAGGAAUACAUCGGAAUCUACUUUUUCGUGGGGGAUAACGUAGGGAAACUUACGCUAAUACCGCAUACGACCUACGGGUGAAAGCAGGGGAUCUUCGGACCUUGCGCGAUUGAAUGAGCCGAUGUCGGAUUAGCUAGUUGGCGGGGUAAAGGCCCACCAAGGCGACGAUCCGUAGCUGGUCUGAGAGGAUGAUCAGCCACACUGGAACUGAGACACGGUCCAGCCUCCACGGGAGGCAGCAGUGGGGAAUAUUGGACAAUGGGCGCAAGCCUGAUCCAGCCAUACCGCGUGGGUGAAGAAGGCCUUCGGGUUGUAAAGCCCUUUUGUUGGGAAAGAAAAGCAGCAGGUUAAUACCCCGCUGUUCUGACGGUACCCAAAGAAUAAGCACCGGCUAACUUCGUG
RNAcentral lists this ribosomal RNA (491 nucleotides) under uncultured bacterium. RNAcentral describes it as "partial 16S ribosomal RNA". It matches the Rfam family "Bacterial small subunit ribosomal RNA", at positions 29 to 507 of the family's 1533-position model. The record is from RNAcentral.